UAAACGGUAGUAUACCAAUUUCUUAAUCACAGUAUGAUGUUACUUUGUUGACGUAAUUUACGACAUAACGACAUAACGGUAUCUCACUGGCGACAGUGACGCCAGUGAGAUACCGUAAAAAAAGCUACGGUGCGUUACCAUAAUUUGUCCAAGAGUAUUAUACCACAACAGCAAAAAACGGUAUCAUCCUGCAGAACAGUAAGCUACCGUAACACGGCGUCACGGUAUGACGCUGGCAACAGUGACGCCAGUAUGUUACCGUAAGGUGGAGAUGAAAAGUCUAACAGUGCAGCGUUGUCCUGUUCACCUCUGACCCGGGUGACCAGGGUCAGAGGUGAACAGAGAUGCGUAGGAGGCUUUCAGCUGCUCGUACGUGCAGCAUGUGUGAUAUUAAAUAUAUAUGCUUUCAAACAUAAACGCGACACCUCAGCAGCAGAGGGAUGAGCCUGACUGUCCCAGCCAGCAUCCUCCGUCCGCUCCCGUUACAUUCCUCAUCUUUCAGAGCGUGGAUCAGUUUUCCUGAGCGCUGACGGCCGGCUGCUUCGUCACACCCGCACCGGCGGACACAAUGGCAAAGUUCCUGACUCAGGAUCAGAUUAACGAGUUUAAGGAGUGUUUCUCGCUGUACGACCGCCAGCGAAAAGGCAAGAUCGAAGCCAAGGAGCUGAUAACAGUGAUGCGAUGCCUCGGGUCGAGCCCCACCCCCUCCGAGGUCCAGCGCCACCUCCUGAGCCACAACAUGGACCAGGAAGGAGAGCUGGACUUCUCCACCUUCCUGCGCAUCAUGCACCGGCAGCUCCAGCAGGAGGCGCCAGAGCAGGAGAUUUUGGAGGCCAUGAGGAUGGCCGACAAGGAGCAGAAAGGCUUCAUCCUGGCCUCUGAGCUGCGAGCCAAACUCACCGGGCUGGGAGAGAAACUGACGGACAAAGAGGAUCUGCCCAGACGUCUUUCUUCCAUCCACCUGCUCCAGGUGUUUGUGCCCGAGUCUUCCCAGGAGCUUUGCUGUUGGGGCAGUUUGCCCCUGGCUGGGUCUGCAAAGCCAAAUCAGUCCUGGGUGAGGGGCUAGCCUAAGCAUAGCUCGGAUGAAAGGUGAUACUAGUCCGUGGAUCAGGGUCCCACACUGGAGCCAGGCCUGAAGGAGCAGCUGGUCAUCAGGUUUCUGUACUUCAUGAGUUUUAUAUGUUAUUGGAAGAGUCCACUGCACAGCUGCACAGAGAACUCAAACAUGGCGAGAAUCGAGACGCAGUUUCAGUUUGAAGAAAACAUGUCUUGGUUUACUGAUAAAUGAUGAAAUUGCUCCUUCAGCACAGGCAUCGAGUGACGGAUGAACAAAACUGUGUUUUCCAGCAGUUUCAGUUAUUUUGGUCUCGGACUGAGUUCCAUUUAUUUUUGCUGAUUUCUAUGUUCACCAGCCGCACAGCUGUCACACUGCAGCAGCACAUGGUGCACACAGCUGUGGUCACUCAUCGUGAGCAUGAAUGUCAUUUUUUAAUGAUUUCUUUGAGCAGAUCUUUUUUCAGGGUGGACUUACUGUCCAGACGAGGUUAAAAGAUACAUACACCUGCACUAAUAUUUGGUUAAAGGCCUAAUCAGAUGUUUUUGGUAUCCAUCAACAACCCUCUGGAAUAAUCCUGGCUGAUGUUUGGCUGCUCUUAGAGUUCAUUUAGAUUAGUUGGUUUCCUGGUAUGGACCCGGCUUUAAGCGUUGUCCAUAAACUUUUGGAAAGACAUUCCAGAAGCUAAAUACUAAGCUGCUUUAUCCAAAACCAGUUCUGAUGUGUGUUUGGGAUCACUGUGCUGCUGGAACACCCGACUGUGUCCACGUUUCAGUUGUCCAGCUGCUGUUUUGAGGUGUAAUUGAAGAUUUUGGAGUCAGUCCUCCUUCAUCACUCCAUCCACUUUGUCUAAUGUACCAGAACCACAGCCCAGAGCAUGAUGCUACCACCACCAUGCUUCACAUGUGCAGUGUUCUCAGGUUUGAAAGCCUCAGCUUUGCUCCUCCAAUCAGCUCCAUCUUUGUCUUGUCUGACCAUCAAACUUUUCUCCAGAAGUCGUUUGGCUCGUCCACGUGGGCAGCUGCAAAUUUCAGUCGAGCUUGUUGAUUUUGGAGCAGGAGCUUCUUUCUUAGUCAGUCCAUGGAGAUGUGAGACUGGCUUCACUGUGGACAGUGAUGCUGUGACACUGUGACAGUUUGGGUCUUCUUCCAGACUUUCAUAAAGUGGCACAUCUGAAUAACUUGUUCAGAAAUGAUUCAUAGACCUUCACAACUUGUGGAAAUCUGCAGUUCUCGUUAGAACGACUCCAAGAACCUCAGAGAAGUCGGUCUGAUGAGUGCUGUCAAACAAACCUUUUUAAUCUAAAGUGUCAACCCACGAUCACCGAGAAGUUAACAGACACUGUGAACCUUCAGCUCCACUUAUUAAAGAUUAAAGUGAGUGUAUGAGAAUAUUUGAGCCUGUAUGCUUUUGACCAGCAGAGAAAAGCCAAAAAUAAAUUCAAUUGUUCCAUUGUUCAUCACACACAAUGGCAGUUGAGCUGCGUUCAGCUUGUUCAGCAAUAUUAUGUCUGGCAGUGGGUCUGACACUUGAGGCCAGGCCAAUAAGUCAGUUUGUCCAGAACAAUUCACGUUCAGAAGUGGCGACUUACUCCAGGUGAUGUUCAGAGGUGUACUAUAGUUGGCCUUGGACCAGAGGACUCUGUAGCCAGGAUGAGUUGCUAACAGACACCAACUUCUGUCCUCUGGUAUGCUGUAUGGCCACAGUCCAGAUGUAUAUGCAGACAACAGCAUAUGAGCACACACAUAGCAGUCCGUCCUAUUAUUCAAGUGAGCAGUUGUAUUCAUAAACUGCCACCAAAGGUUUGUAGAAUAGCCACGAGGGUAUUGGGUGUGGUUUCCUUGGACAUACAGGGUCUCCACUGCUGACCAUGAUGACAUCAAAGCCAUUACACCCAGCAGGGUAGACAACACUUUACCAGCCAUUCUGAUGAGUACCUGUGGCUCAGUUGGUUUCUUCACCGGAUUGAGACGAGGGGCCCUGGAGGCUUUCCCUCCCCUUUGUACCCGGUCCUCCUGCCACUUACUCCGAGCUGGCCUGGAUGUGUGUCACCUUUUUGCAGUGGCUUUGGUGUAUCCAGGUGGGUCGCUCUGCGAUCUUCCCAGCUGUUGGUGUUGUCAGCAGAGCCUGGUAUGGUCAGUCCCACCGUGGCUUCGACCAGCACUUCCUCUUUAUGACCUUUAUCAGCACCCAGUCCCCUGGCUUCAGACGUUCGUCCUGUACAGAAACAGAAUCAUCUGGCAGAUUAUUUGCACUCAUGACUUCUUUGCUUUUCAGCAUUUUAAUCAUCCAGUCUGCUAGUGUGUUUUCUUCUUCUGCGUUAUCAUUAUCAAUACAAAACACUGGAACUCUAAAUGGCCUGCCAUAUAUUAUUUCAAAGGGAGUUAGGCCAUUAUCAGUUGGCGUGAUUCUCAUAUACAUUUUCACCAGCUCAAUGCAGUCUACCCAUGUUCUGCCUGUUUCCUCCAUUGUUUUCCUGAGUCUCAGCUUUACUGUGCCAUUAGUCCUUUCAACCAAUCCUGCACUUUGUGGGUGGUAUGAGCAGUGGUUUUUCAGUGUUAUCCCCAGAUGUUGUGACAUUUUCUCAAUUACUUCAUUCACAAAAUGAGGACCAUUGUCAUUGUAAAUAGUCUGGGGAAUCCCAUGCUCUGGGAUCACAUUUUUGCAUAUUGCCUUAGCCACUGAAAUAGCAUCUGCUUUCUUAGUGGGGACAAUUUCAACCCACUUUGAGAACGGGCACACAAUUACCAGGCAGUACCUGUAGGUGUUACAGUUAGACAACUCAAUAAAAUCCAUAUGGAUUACUUCAAAUGGGUAGCUGGGUCUGGGAAACCUUCCUCUUCUAGGUCAGAGGUUCCCCUGAGCAUUAUGUUUACAACAUAUUAAACAUGCUUUACAGAAAUGUUUUGAAUAAGCAUUGAAUCUCAGUGUGAAAAACUGCCGUUCGACUGCUGCCACCAUCCCGGCUGUGGAGACAUGGCAGAGCCCUGGGCUCAAAAUUGCAGCAGUCCUAUAUAAGUUUUUAGGCAAUAUAUGUCAGGGUCCUGGGUCUGAGCGACCCAGGAUCCCUGAGCAGUUAUGGCCUAAUAUUAUAAUAUAUAUUUUGUAUUGCUGUCCCUGGUUCUCCCUGCUUGUAUGUGUGUGUGUGUGUGUGUCUGAGCACUCGUUUAUAGGCGCCUUCAGGCCUGGUGGGUGUGGCCCUGCUAGGGGACUGGCCACACCCAAAGCCACACACCUGCUCCUGAUCAGGUCUCGUCGGGGGAGCUACUUAAGAGAGUCUUGGAGCUCCCACCGACGUGGGAUCAUUGCGUGAGACUCCACGAGGAGCGUGGGAGGCCCGAAGAGCAGCGAGCACCGGGAGUGCAGACACAGGAGCAGAGAUCACAAGGAGGACACGACACGGGAGUCUUGGGAAACAUGGGGAUUUACUGUUGUUUUGCACCAUACACUGUAAAUAAACGCACUGUUCGCACACAGAGCACCGUGCCUGGGUCCUCAUUCCCUGCACCCCCCACGGUCUGCCAUGCCGAACCGUGACAAUAUAGGUUUAUCACAAAGAUAGUAGACAUCACCUCUCAGGCUUGCUCCUUUAGUGAGCCACAGCUGCUUCUCAGCUGGAAGUGAGUGUGACUGCAUGUCUGCUAACACAUCAUGUGUAAUGGGCAUAGUUUGCUCCUGAGAUGUCAGAAUAUGAACCCCAUGUGUUCCAAGGGCCGCUUCCUUUGCAAUUUUAUCUGCAAAGGCAUUGCCUAGUACAAUGGGGUCAGUGCCACGUGUGUGUGCUGCACAUUUACAAACCGCAACUUUACUGGGCAGUAAGACUGCUUUCAACAGGUCCUGUAAAAGUGUCGCAUGCUCCACAGGUUUCCCUGUUGAGGUUGUCAUGGCAAAGAAAUGAAGUGUAGCAUAUGCAUACUGACUGUCUGUAUAUAUAGUCACUACCUGCCCCUCAGCUGCUUUGCAGGCUUCCGUCAAAGCCACUAUCUCAGCUGCUUGGGCAGACAUGGAAUGUGAUAACUGCCCAGCACGGAUGACCUGUACAUCAUCCACAACAGCAAAGCCUGUUUUAGUCUUUCCCUCUGCCGUUUUAAAACUUGAACCAUCAAUAAACCAAACCUUGCCCUCAGUGAGUGGUAUGUCCGUUAAAUCACUUCUAGGUUUGCACUGUGUUUCCACAUGCUCACUACACACAUGUGGUGUACCCUCUUCCUCUGUGGGUAACAGUGUAGAGGGAUUCAAAGUUGUACACCGCUUAAUAGUUUUGUGUGGCUGUGAGAGCAACAGUGACAUUAAAGAUAAGUGUCUUGCAGGUGACAAGAAUGUCAUCUUAGUUUGCAGCAGUAAGACAUCUACCUCAUGUGGAACUAGCAGGGUCAAAGGGUGAAACAAAACAAUUUCACCAGAACACUUUACGGCCUCAGCGGCUGCACACAGAUCACACACAGUGAGGUAAGGCACAAGCCACUGAAUCCAGCCUCUUAGAAUAAUAAGCUACUGGCUUCAUUCUACCUCCACACUUUUGUGCUAACAUGGACGUCAUAAAAUGUCCUUUACAAUCAACAGUUUUAACAAAAGGCUUGUUAUAAUCUGGAAGUCCUAGAACUGAUGGUCCUGUCAGCAUCUGUUUCAGCAUGCACAGAGCUUGCUCCCCCUCAGGGGUCCAACUCAAACUUUCUGACAUAGCUAAAGGUUUACUGUACAUCAUAUCUAACAAUGGCUGCGCAAUUUCAGCGUAAUGGGGCAUCCACAAUCGACAGAAAUUUAGCAAACCUAGGAAUUGCAUCAUGUGUUUCUUUGUCUCUGGCCUAGGUGCCGCCAAAAUAGCUGUUUUCCUCUCUGGAUGUAUGCUCUUCCCUGCUGCACUAAGCAGAUGUCCUAAAAAUUUCACUUCUGUCUUUACCCACUGUAACUUUGAAAGUGAGGCCUUGUUACCUGUUUCAGCUAAGUGAGUCAGCAAUGCCAAUGACAUGUCUCUACAAUUCUUCUCUGAAUUGGAUGCAAUUAAAAUGUCAUCGACAUAUACCAACAUUUGUGAAUGUGAUGGAAUCACAAAAUCAGACAGACAAUUUGUAAUAUUCUGUGUGAAGAUUGUAGGAGUGUCACAAAAACCUUGCAGCAAUCUGGUGUAUGUGUAUUUUUUGCCUUGAUACGUGAAACCAAACCAGCCUUGUGAAUUCUCAUGCACUGGUAUGGAAAAGAAAGCAUUACUUAAAUCUACCACAGUGAAGUGUGUCUUGUCUGGCUUAAGCUGAUUUAACAAAGUGUGGGGGUCGGGGACACAUGGAGCUAUACUCUCCACUGCCUGGUUUACAGCUCUUAAGUCUUGAAUCAUGCGCCACGACUGUGAAUCAGCCUUUCUAACUGGGAAGAUGGGUGUGUUACAUACUGCCUGUGGAGCUUCAACUAGUAUCCCUGCUUUAAUCAUAUCCUCUAUUACUGGUUUAAUGCCUUCCACUGCAUCAGGCUUCAAGGGAUAUUGCUUCACUCUUGGCCUAAAAGAUGUUUUGGGCUUUAUUACUACUGGACUCGCUGUUGUCAUUAACCCCAUGUCAGUCUUCCCAGUAGACCAGAGCUUCUCUGGGACCUGUUUAAGCUCCGGGUGAUCUCUGACAUCUACAACAUAUCAUUCUGCUGUGUCAUUCUCACCCCCCUCUAAGUGUGUUUGUGGUGUAGUAUGUGUCACCCAUCCCAGCUUUUUACAAAAGAUGCUGCACUGCAUGUCUGUCUCCCAACCCCCUCCAGCUUGCUGCCACAUUCCAACACUCUCCUCCUUCCUCACUAGAGAUGCUAAGUCUGUCCACUCAGCUGUGCCACUCUUUGUCAGUGAAACAUGUGGUGUCUGCCCUGUAAAAAGUUGUUGUGCAGCUUCAGAAAGGAUCACACUACAUCCAGCCAUGGUUUCACCAUCAGUGUAUGUCAGAAGAAAAUUGUGUAUAUGUUAUCAGCUACAUGAAAUGUGCUCUUUUAGGAUCACUGAGCAAAUGUCUAUGUGACUUUUCACCUAAUAACUUUUGUGAUGAUAAACUUGUUUACCAACUAGCAGCUUCCUCUCUUCUAGAACAUACAGAUAGAAAAGGGGAACCUCAGCUCUGA
This is an RNA transcript of Oreochromis niloticus (Nile tilapia), 7147 nucleotides long. It is a transcript of the gene named calmodulin-like 4b, with no coding region annotated. The transcript has 6 exons. Lineage: Eukaryota; Metazoa; Chordata; Actinopteri; Cichliformes; Cichlidae. The record is from RefSeq and is a predicted model, not a curated record.